Phrynosoma platyrhinos (Desert horned lizard) is the source of this 73-nucleotide non-coding RNA. The record is from the annotation of a GenBank genome assembly. Lineage: Eukaryota; Metazoa; Chordata; Lepidosauria; Squamata; Phrynosomatidae.
AUCUGUGUGACAUAAUGGCUUGAGUGUUGGGCUAGGACACUGAGAGGCCAGGGUUCGAAUCCUGGCUCAGCUA